AGUUUUUAGCUGUUUUUUAAAAGCGACCACGGAGUCCACAGAUCUCAGGCUCAAAGGGAGAGAGUUCCACAAUCUGGGGGCCACAGUUACAAAAGCUUUGUCGCCUUUUGUUUUCAGCCUCGUGUGUUGGACAACCAGCAAGCCCUGGUCACAUGACCUCAGGGACCUGCUGGGAAUGUAUGGAUGUAAAAGUUCACUUAUAUAUGUUGGUGCUUGUCCAUGUAGAGCCCUGAAAGUCAAGGUCAAAACCUUAAAGUGGAUUCUGAAUUUAACGGGGAGCCAGUGCAGCUGAAUCAGCAGGGGUGUGACAUGGGAAUACUUGGAGGACUUGGUCAGAAGCUUUGCAGCAGCGUUCUGAACAACUUGCAGAUGCUCCAAAGAGGCUUUUCAUGAACAAGUAAACAAAGAAUUACAAUAAUCCAGACGAGAUGAAACAAAUGCAUGAAUGACAAUUUCUAAUUUGGAGCGCGAUACAAUGGGACUCAGCUUAGCAAUGUUUCUCAAGUGAUAAAAACAGGAGAGAACCAGAGAUUUUACAUGAGCAUCCGAAGUCAGAGCUGAGUCAAUAGUAACACCAAGGUUCCUGAUAGACGGUUUGGCAAAUGUAGCAAGUGGACCCAAGUUUUCCAUAACACUAGGUACAAAACUUUUAGGAGCACAAACAAGGACUUCAGUCUUCUCCUCAUUUAGUUGAAGAAAGUUUCCAGCCAUCCAACCUCUAAUGGAGUCUAUGCACUUAUGCAAAAUCUGUAGCUUGGAAACUUGGCUUAAAGGAGAUAUAUAACUGAAUAUCAUCUGCAUAGCAGUGAUACGAAAUGUCCUUAAGAGUGCUCAAUAAGUGUUGAAGAGGAAGUAAAUACAGCAAGAACAAUAAAGGCCCCAAAACUGAACCUUGUGGCACACCAUAGGCAAGAAAAGUAGAAGAGGAACUGUACUUAGAGGUAGCCACAGAAAAGGAUCGUUCAUGCAAAUAGGAUUCAAACCAGUCCAAAGCAGCCCAUGAUAUACCCACCCAGUGUCUCAGCCUGUCUAGCAGAAUAUGAUGGUCCACAGUAUCAAAGGCGGAGGUCAGCUCCAACAUCAACAGAACGAAGCAUUCUCCUGCAUCACAUCUCAUCAAAAUGUCGUUGGAGACUCUAAGAAGUGUAGUUUCAGUAGAGUGAGCUCUACGUAAGCCAAAUAAAGUACUGUGAUCACACCAUUUCUUUCUUGCCAAAAAGCAAGCUGCUGCAGGCGACAAAGUAACGACUAAUCAGAGCCAAAAUAUAAAUGACUGCAACAGUCUAAGUGAGAGGUAAUAAAAGAGUGAACUGAUCUCUCAAAGUUAUGUUACAGGAAGCAGGCCUUGACUUUACUGAGGAGCCUUAGUUUAAAAAAGCUCAUCUUAACAGAGUUAAUCUGUUUAUCUAAUUUUAAAGCAGAGUCAAAAAAUCACACCAAGUUUCCUUGCCAUUAGGUAACAAUAAGAAGCGACUCUCAUACUUAUCUAAAAGAGUUAAAGGAAAGGUUUAUAAGAUGGUAGUGAGUCCUGCUACCUCUGCCUCCUCCUGUCAAGCUGAUGUGGCAGAGGGAAAAAUUUUCACUGGGAGUAACCAGAAUGGACAGGAUUAGAAAUUCUUAUAUGGGAGGGACAGCUCAAGUUGAGUGGUUUGGAGACAAAAUUAUAGAGGCAAGGCUGAAAUGGUUUGGACAUGUUGAGAAGAGGGAUAGUGGAUAUAUUGGACAAAGGAUAUAGAAGAUGGAGCUGCCAGGCAGGAGAAAAAGAGGAAGACCUCAGAAAGCAUGGCUGGUGUGACAGAAGAAGGGAUACAGUGAAAUUGGAGGAAGAUGAUCCGCUAUGGUGACCUCUAAAGGCAGCAGCUGAAAGAAAAGUGGAGUGAGAGUUAGACGGACAGCAGGAUCUAAGGAAAGCAAGAACAUAAAGGAGAUGAAGAUGCCUCUAAAUAAAUAUCACUGCUCUGAUGGGAAUUUUAACUGGAGGAAUGUGUGUGACUUGGCCUCUGCUUGGAGGCUUCCAACAUAUUACAAAUGAAUGUCAGCGACAGACAAAAACUGUUUUAAGGAGCUAAAAUGACAGAUUAUCUGCUAAAGAACAGGAUCAUCAAGAGCUAAUGUAGUGGAAAUAAUUAUGCUGCCUGAGGAGUUCUAAAAGAAACUGCUAACUAUACAGUAGAUGCGAUACUGAAGGGUCUGUCUAAGUUGAGUGUGGCAGCUCUCUUAUGGGGUUCUCUCGCCCCCCUCUCUUCUUUCCGCAGCUCAUCUGUGACUGUGUUUCAAAAACCUAAGGACUUCCUGCAGAUCUCUAAAGAAGAUAGAGCUGGGAGAGGACCUGUACAGAGUUUUCAAAGACUUUUUAGACUCUGGGACGAUGACACUGUGCUGUAAAGAAAGCUGCUCUUCUCAUGCUGUUUCAAAAAAAAAGAAAGAAAGGAAAAGAACUACUUAAAAUUUGAGUACAUUUCAGCUCAUUUUCACAUCGAAUUCCUGUACACACAAGUAUGAACAUUUAUGUAUUGCAUUUUGUGUUUUUGUGACAUCAAAAGAGCUGUCUGGAUGUGACACUUGUCAGUAGCUCAAAUGAAAGCUUUAAGUCGGGUUGAUCGUGUGUAUUUGUUUAGGAGACUUGAAGCAUUUGACUAUGUAAAAUAAGAUCAGUUCAUGGGCUAAUUUGUUAUGCUCAAAACACUGGAAUCGCUUUGACGACAGGAGGAAGGCGUAGUUAACUCCACUUUCUGCAUUUGUAAGUAAGCGAGGGAGACAGUCUAAGUUGCAUAAAUGUCCUCAUCAGGAGGUGCAAGAUAGGAUAUCUGCAAAAGUCUGAGCACGCACCUACUACAAGAGCACCAAUUUUCGAGCUUUCACCUAGCAGGCUAUAAGAGAAAGAUACUUCUAAUUAUAAACUAAAGAUACCUAGACAGGAUCUCAUGAGGUGAACUUUGCAGCAGAUACCAAAUACAGGUCAGCUCGUCUGCUUUUGCUGCUAAUGUUACAGCGUUUGUUACCAGCCAAAACUGAUAUUAACAGACCUGAGCAAUAAAUGGAAAAAUAUGAAA
This is a long non-coding RNA of Oreochromis niloticus (Nile tilapia), 3053 nucleotides long. RefSeq lists it as uncharacterized. The transcript has 2 exons. The record is from RefSeq and is a predicted model, not a curated record. Lineage: Eukaryota; Metazoa; Chordata; Actinopteri; Cichliformes; Cichlidae.